This 464-nucleotide ribosomal RNA is filed under the name uncultured bacterium. Its description in RNAcentral is "partial 16S ribosomal RNA". It matches the Rfam family "Bacterial small subunit ribosomal RNA", at positions 339 to 795 of the family's 1533-position model. The record is from RNAcentral.
CUACGGGUGGCUGCAGUGGGGAAUUUUGGACAAUGGGCGCAAGCCUGAUCCAGCCAUUCCGCGUGAGUGAAGAAGGCCUUCGGGUUGUAAAGCUCUUUCGCAAGGGAAGAAAACUUAUCCUCUAACAUAGGGUGAGGUUGACGGUACCUUGAUAAGAAGCACCGGCUAACUACGUGCCAGCAGCCGCGGUAAUACGUAGGGUGCGAGCGUUAAUCGGAAUUACAGGGCGUAAAGCGUGCGCAGGCUGUUUUGUAAGUCAGAUGUGAAAUCCCCGAGCUCAACUUGGGAACUGCGUUUGAAACUACAAGACUAGAAUAUGUCAGAGGGGGGUAGAAUUCCAUGUGUAGCAGUGAGAUGCGUAGAGAUGUGGAGGAAUACCAAUGGCGAAGGCAGCCCCCUGGGAUAAUAUUGACGCUCAUGCACGAAAGCGUGGGGAGCAAACAGGAUUAGAUACCCCCGUAGUC